UUAAUUGAAGCCAAAAAGAGGCAUUUCAUUGUUAAUGAAAUAAAUGACUUUUAGUCCAAUUAAA
Molecule: transfer RNA, 64 nt
Filed under: Linshcosteus costalis
Lineage: Eukaryota; Metazoa; Arthropoda; Insecta; Hemiptera; Reduviidae
Description: tRNA-Asn
Source: RNAcentral